GUCGUAUUUUAGCAGCAGCUCUUCAGCAUUCAGUACGAAAAACUAAAAUGGAGAUGACAAUCUUCAUAAUUUUGUUCACCGCCCCAUUUACUGCUCUCACAGCUUCGACGGCGGCUCUUGUACCUCCGGACGAAUCUCAGAUUCCGUCUUCAUCUGGUCAGCAGAAUCAGAAUUCGGUGAUCUACGAAUUGCAAGAAGCGAAGAUCAAAAUCGCUCGAUUAGAAUCCAU
Molecule: unclassified non-coding RNA, 229 nt
Filed under: Hevea brasiliensis (rubber tree)
Lineage: Eukaryota; Viridiplantae; Streptophyta; Magnoliopsida; Malpighiales; Euphorbiaceae
Source: RNAcentral